This 256-nucleotide ribosomal RNA is filed under the name uncultured bacterium. Its description in RNAcentral is "partial 16S ribosomal RNA". It matches the Rfam family "Bacterial small subunit ribosomal RNA", at positions 524 to 776 of the family's 1533-position model. The record is from RNAcentral.
UACGUAGGGUGCAAGCGUUAAUCGGAAUUACUGGGCGUAAAGCGUGCGCAGGCGGUUUUGUAAGUCUGUCGUGAAAUCCCCGGGCUCGAACCUGGGAAUGGCGAUGGAGACUGCAAGGCUAGAGUUUGGCAGAGGGGGGUAGAAUUCCGACGUGUAGCAGUGAAAUGCGUAGAUAUGUCGGAGGAACACCGAUGGCGAAGGCAGCCCCCUGGGUCAAAACUGACGCUCAUGCACGAAAGCGUGGGGAGCAAACAGG